GAGUUUAAAAAACAAGUGGCACUAGAAUUUCUCACCUCACUGAUUGCCAGGGUAGAUUUGGCUCAACUGGCUGGCUAGGCAGGUGUCCCUUUCCUCCCUCACUGCCCCAUGUGCAUCCCUCCCGAAGCUGUGCACUUGAAGAGGACAAUCUUAUAAAGGAGGACCAUUCUUUGUCAAGGGCAUAUGAGUAGCUGUGCUCCCCUGCUAGAACCUACAAACAAGCUCUCAAGAUCCGUUUGUCAGAGAACAUGGGGUAGUCAUGCUUUCAACACUCCGGACGUAUCUGAAUGAGGCACUGCAGAUGGCAGUCGCCUUUCUAU
Unclassified non-coding RNA from Vulpes vulpes (red fox), 320 nucleotides. Its record names the gene 7SK. It matches the Rfam family "7SK RNA". From Rfam's summary of the family: 7SK was discovered as an abundant small nuclear RNA in the mid-70s but a possible function has only recently been suggested. Two independent studies have found that 7SK RNA binds the CDK9/cyclin T complex (known as elongation factor P-TEFb). P-TEFb activates transcription by phosphorylating the C-terminal domain of RNA polymerase II. The record is from Ensembl. NCBI's taxonomy places the organism in Eukaryota, Metazoa, Chordata, Mammalia, Carnivora, Canidae.